This 677-nucleotide small RNA is filed under the name Pan troglodytes (chimpanzee). RNAcentral's name for it is "retained intron". The record is from RNAcentral. Lineage: Eukaryota; Metazoa; Chordata; Mammalia; Primates; Hominidae.
GAAUGCAGAAAGAAAUGGAACAGGAUGCGAAGAGAUUUGGUCAGGCUGCCUGGGCCACAGCAAUUCCCAGGUUGGAAAAACUUCAGCUAAUGCUAGCUCGAGAGACUCUGCAACUCAUGAGAGCGAAAGAGUUGUGUUUAAAUCACAAAAGAGCUGAAAUUCAGGGAAAGAUGGAAGAUCUUCCAGAACAAGAAAAAAAUACAAAUGUUAUAGACGAAUUAGAAAUACAAUUUUAUGAAAUUCAAUUAGAACUAUAUGAAGUUAAAUUUGAGAUAUUAAAAAACGAAGAAAUACUGCUUACUACACAGUUGGACUCUCUUAAAAGACUUAUAAAAGAAAAACAAGAUGAAGUUGUCUAUUACGAUCCAUGUGAAAAUCCAGAGGAACUUAAAGUCAUUGACUGUGUGGUGGGGCUGCAGGAUGAUAAGAAUUUGGAAGUGAAAGAACUCAGAAGGCAGUGCCAGCAGCUGGAGUCUAAACGGGGCAGGAUCUGUGCCAAAAGAGCCUCUCUCCGGAGUAGAAAGGUGAUUUGUAUUAUUCCACCAGGAUCAGUGCAAAGAAAAUCAUCGGCUCAGAUUGCAACAGGCUGAAGAAAGCAUAAGAUACUCUCGUCAGCAUCACAGUAUUCAGAUGAAAAGAGACAAGAUAAAAGAAGAGGAGCAAAAGAAAAAAGAAUG